AUCGGAGCCAGACCGGAAGGCCACCGCCUGGUGUUUCUGGGGUCCGGCGGUGUUCUCGAAGGUCAUGUCACGAGCUAUGAAGCCGUCACCCGAAACACCUGAAAGAAGAAAUUAACGACUCUUAAUUAUUAAGUUGUUGGUCAAAAAGGUAGAAAAGGAUGUUUAUUUACCUUUUUUUACUAUUAUUUUUUCGUUAUGUUGUACAAAGUAAUGUUUGAUGAUUGUUAUUUUUUUAAUCAUUACUUUUAGUGAUUGUUGGUGAAAUAGGGGACAGACAAAAAGUUGUCAAAAUUGACUUGUGUUUUUACUAUUAAAAUUUUUUUUACUUAAUUGAACAAAAUUUAUGCAUGUUGCAUGAAAGAGCUUACCAACAGUUGCUGAACGAAAAGUGGUUGUGGUUUGAGCAUUCUUGCUACCGGUAACGAUGGUGGCAUCAAUACCAUCCCCAACCAACAUUAUAUUUUUAGCUGAUCUCUUAAUAUCCACAUUUUCCUUAUAAACUCCAGCUUUCACGUAUAUAACAGUUCUUUUGCCCCCACCAGCUGCUGCCACAGCUUCCGUUAUGGUCUUAAAGUUACCAGAGCCAUCUUGGGCCACCACAAUAUCGGCUUUUGGUGGUGCACCGGUAGUUUGCAAGAGCUUCCUAUCGGCAACCGAAAGCCAAGCCGGAAAUCCGUCGGAAAGUAGGCGUCGAUUGGCAACUUGUUUAGCGAAGUUACUAUGGGAAGUAGAGGAUGUAACAGUGGUGGCCUUGUUUAUGGCUAGAGAAUUGCUGAUCAACUUGGUAAUGUUUCCUAACAUGGAUGGUAAGGUUUGUAAAUGGGAGGCUAGAUUGAAGUCAAUGAAGCCAUUUUGACAGGUUUGUUGGUUGGCAAUUGCUGCACUUAACCAGGUUUGAG
RNAcentral lists this long non-coding RNA (899 nucleotides) under Gossypium raimondii (Peruvian cotton). Its description in RNAcentral is "long non-coding RNA (GRAI_LNC003979)". The record is from RNAcentral. Lineage: Eukaryota; Viridiplantae; Streptophyta; Magnoliopsida; Malvales; Malvaceae.